Molecule: ribosomal RNA, 492 nt
Filed under: uncultured bacterium
Lineage: Bacteria
Description: partial 16S ribosomal RNA
Rfam family: Bacterial small subunit ribosomal RNA
Source: RNAcentral
AGUGAACGCUGGCGGUAGGCCUAACACAUGCAAGUCGAACGGCAGCACAGUAAGAGCUUGCUCUUACGGGUGGCGAGUGGCGGACGGGUGAGGAAUACAUCGGAAUCUACUUUUUCGUGGGGGAUAACGUAGGGAAACUUACGCUAAUACCGCAUACGACCUACGGGUGAAAGCAGGGGAUCUUCGGACCUUGCGCGAUUGAAUGAGCCGAUGUCGGAUUAGCUAGUUGGCGGGGUAAAGGCCCACCAAGGCGACGAUCCGUAGCUGGUCUGAGAGGAUGAUCGGCCACACUGGAACUGAGACACGGUCCAGACUCCUACGGGAGGCAGCAGUGGGGAAUAUUGGACAGUGGGCGCAAGCCUGAUCCAGCCAUACCGCGUGGGUGAAGAAGGCCUUCGGGUUGUAAAGCCCUUUUGUUGGGAAAGAAAAGCAGCAGGUUAAUACCCCGCUGUUCUGACGGUACCCAAAGAAUAAGCACCGGCUAACUUCGUG